AUUGAACGCUGGCGGCAUGCUUUACACAUGCAAGUCGAACGGUAACAGGGAGCUUGCUCCGCUGACGAGUGGCGAACGGGUGAGUAAUGCAUCGGAACGUACCCAGUCGUGGGGGAUAACGUAGCGAAAGUUACGCUAAUACCGCAUACGUCCUGAGGGAGAAAGCGGGGGACCGUAAGGCCUCGCGCGAUUGGAGCGGCCGAUGUCGGAUUAGCUAGUUGGUAGGGUAAAGGCCUACCAAGGCGACGAUCCGUAGCGGGUCUGAGAGGAUGAUCCGCCACACUGGGACUGAGACACGGCCCAGACUCCUACGGGAGGCAGCAGUGGGGAAUUUUGGACAAUGGGCGAAAGCCUGAUCCAGCCAUGCCGCGUGAGUGAAGAAGGCCUUCGGGUUGUUAAAGGACUCUUUCUAGGUGGAAGAAA
Molecule: ribosomal RNA, 423 nt
Filed under: uncultured bacterium
Lineage: Bacteria
Description: bacterial SSU rRNA
Rfam family: Bacterial small subunit ribosomal RNA
Source: RNAcentral